Molecule: ribosomal RNA, 517 nt
Filed under: Aspergillus terreus
Lineage: Eukaryota; Fungi; Ascomycota; Eurotiomycetes; Eurotiales; Aspergillaceae
Description: SSU rRNA
Rfam family: Eukaryotic small subunit ribosomal RNA
Source: RNAcentral
AGGAGGCAGCAGGCGCGCAAAUUACCCAAUCCCGACACGGGGAGGUAGUGACAAUAAAUACUGAUACGGGGCUCUUUCGGGUCUCGUAAUUGGAAUGAGUACAAUCUAAAUCCCUUAACGAGGAACAAUUGGAGGGCAAGUCUGGUGCCAGCAGCCGCGGUAAUUCCAGCUCCAAUAGCGUAUAUUAAAGUUGUUGCAGUUAAAAAGCUCGUAGUUGAACCUUGGGUCUGGCUGGCCGGUCCGCCUCACCGCGAGUACUGGUCCGGCUGGACCUUUCCUUCUGGGGAAUCCCAUGGCCUUCACUGGCUGUGGGGGGAACCAGGACUUUUACUGUGAAAAAAUUAGAGUGUUCAAAGCAGGCCUUUGCUCGAAUACAUUAGCAUGGAAUAAUAGAAUAGGACGUGCGGUUCUAUUUUGUUGGUUUCUAGGACCGCCGUAAUGAUUAAUAGGGAUAGUCGGGGGCGUCAGUAUUCAGCUGUCAGAGGUGAAAUUCUUGGAUUUGCUGAAGACUAACUAC